Molecule: ribosomal RNA, 1464 nt
Filed under: uncultured organism
Description: 16S ribosomal RNA
Rfam family: Bacterial small subunit ribosomal RNA
Source: RNAcentral
UGAACGCUGGCGGCAGGCCUAACACAUGCAAGUCGAGCGGUAGCACAGAGAGCUUGCUCUCGGGUGACGAGCGGCGGACGGGUGAGUAAUGUCUGGGAAACUGCCUGAUGGAGGGGGAUAACUACUGGAAACGGUAGCUAAUACCGCAUAAUGUCGCAAGACCAAAGUGGGGGACCUUCGGGCCUCAUGCCAUCAGAUGUGCCCAGAUGGGAUUAGCUAGUAGGUGGGGUAACGGCUCACCUAGGCGACGAUCCCUAGCUGGUCUGAGAGGAUGACCAGCCACACUGGAACUGAGACACGGUCCAGACUCCUACGGGAGGCAGCAGUGGGGAAUAUUGCACAAUGGGCGCAAGCCUGAUGCAGCCAUGCCGCGUGUGUGAAGAAGGCCUUCGGGUUGUAAAGCACUUUCAGCGGGGAGGAAGGCGUUAAGGUUAAUAACCUUGGCGAUUGACGUUACCCGCAGAAGAAGCACCGGCUAACUCCGUGCCAGCAGCCGCGGUAAUACGGAGGGUGCAAGCGUUAAUCGGAAUUACUGGGCGUAAAGCGCACGCAGGCGGUCUGUCAAGUCGGAUGUGAAAUCCCCGGGCCCAACCUGGGAACUGCAUUCGAAACUGGCAGGCUAGAGUCUUGUAGAGGGGGGUAGAAUUCCAGGUGUAGCGGUGAAAUGCGUAGAGAUCUGGAGGAAUACCGGUGGCGAAGGCGGCCCCCUGGACAAAGACUGACGCUCAGGUGCGAAAGCGUGGGGAGCAAACAGGAUUAGAUACCCUGGUAGUCCACGCCGUAAACGAUGUCGAUUUGGAGGUUGUGCCCUUGAGGCGUGGCUUCCGGAGCUAACGCGUUAAAUCGACCGCCUGGGGAGUACGGCCGCAAGGUUAAAACUCAAAUGAAUUGACGGGGGCCCGCACAAGCGGUGGAGCAUGUGGUUUAAUUCGAUGCAACGCGAAGAACCUUACCUGGUCUUGACAUCCACAGAACUUAGCAGAGAUGCUUUGGUGCCUUCGGGAACUGUGAGACAGGUGCUGCAUGGCUGUCGUCAGCUCGUGUUGUGAAAUGUUGGGUUAAGUCCCGCAACGAGCGCAACCCUUAUCCUUUGUUGCCAGCGGUUAGGCCGGGAACUCAAAGGAGACUGCCAGUGAUAAACUGGAGGAAGGUGGGGAUGACGUCAAGUCAUCAUGGCCCUUACGACCAGGGCUACACACGUGCUACAAUGGCAUAUACAAAGAGAAGCGACCUCGCGAGAGCAAGCGGACCUCAUAAAGUAUGUCGUAGUCCGGAUUGGAGUCUGCAACUCGACUCCAUGAAGUCGGAAUCGCUAGUAAUCGUAGAUCAGAAUGCUACGGUGAAUACGUUCCCGGGCCUUGUACACACCGCCCGUCACACCAUGGGAGUGGGUUGCAAAAGAAGUAGGUAGCUUAACCUUCGGGAGGGCGCUUACCACUUUGUGAUUCAUGACUGGGGUGAAGU